UUAAUUGAAUGUUAGAAACGUAAGCGUUCGGAUACUUUCGUGUGCGAGUGUACAUAUAGUUAAAAAAAGAUUACGUGAACCGUGCACGACUGACACGGCAGUCAAAGUGUUAACGGGUCGUUGGGAUCGUGUUGACGAUCGAACGAGCGCCAGUCAUUUCUUUUUAACCGAAGUGGCUAGUUACACGCAUCGCGUACUUUGGCCGCUGCUUUGUUCCUUUGUUGCGCGCCCGAUACAGGAAAUAUCAUGUCCACCCUGACCUUACGUUCACGAUACCCCCGACCAGAUAGCCGUUGAAAAUUAUCCGAGAUCCUACAAAACCGCCGCGACGGCCAUUGUCUCCUCGUCAGUCCCGACGCGAGGAGGAUUCCGACGCCACUUACCGCCCGAAAUUCUACUUCAUUAUUCGCCGCUGUUGCAUCAUCCCGUUAGCCGCUGAAUCAUCCAUAACGCCGCCAAUUAGACGCAACGAAAUUACAGCCGGUUUAUGUGUUUUCCACUACGUAUUGUACAACAUGUAAUCGACAUUUUAAUUGCUAAUAGAGAGAUAGAACAGCGGAUUCGACAAAAUCAAAGGAACAUUUUCUCUCCUUUCUUCUUCGGCAAAAUAAAACGGAAUUCACGUUGGAGCGCGUGCUACGCAAAAAUCCGCGGCCCGACUGCGAAUAUUGCGAUCGAAGACGCCGAGAUCUGACCUACAAAACAGAGGCGCACAGACACAGCAGUUCAGAAGUUAUGCGAUGUUUUUAUUCGGCAACGUUUGCGUCACCGUCACCUUGUACAUAUUCCACAAUGCGAACGGUUUAUGUUUACAGCGUUUACGGGUGCACAGAAGGGAUGACGCACUUGCGCCGGUCUCUUCGAAUCUCUCCGAUGAUCGGUUCUCCACGCGCCGAAAAUCUGAUAAGCCCCUAAUGAAGCUCACCUUCGCGCCGUAAUUGCUACACCGACAACGGUACAAUACCAGCAGAACUGUUCGAUACUAGCAGCCUCCGCGAAGGUCACGACACCGCGUCUCCGUUCGAACGGCUGCCGAAUAAAUCGUCGGAGAGAUGCUUUCCCCGGGAACACGUAUACAGGGAAUUCGUUCGACAGCAGCGGCACGUCGUAAACAUCGUCGAAGCAUCGAAAAGUUUUUCCGUCAAUUUUUCGGUUCCGUCGCGGGUGGCGGCGGAUCGUCCGACAACAAGAAUCGCUGAUUGGUCUUCAUCUUCUGCACGUGGUAGUCCUGGCCGGACUCCCUCUGACGGCGAUACUCCAGCGAGUUCAUGUACUCGGACACCUUCGGCGAGAAAAUAGUUACAAGGUCAGGCGGUUGCCGUAUCGCGAGAACGCGGGGCUCGUUUCGCCGGAGUAAUUAAAGUUUCCUGUUCUAAACA
Megalopta genalis is the source of this 1379-nucleotide non-coding RNA. Lineage: Eukaryota; Metazoa; Arthropoda; Insecta; Hymenoptera; Halictidae. The record is from RefSeq and is a predicted model, not a curated record.